GACGAACGCUGGCGGCGUGCUUAACACAUGCAAGUCGAACGGAAAGGCCCUGCUUUUGUUGGGUGCUCGAGUUGCGAACGGGUGAGUAACACGUGAGUAACCUGCGCUUUACGUUGGGAUAACUUCAGGAAACUGGGGCUAAUGCCGGAUAGGAGCUCCUGCUGCGUGGGGGGGGUUGGAAAGUUGCGGCGGUUGGGGAUGGACUCGGGGCUUAUCAGCUUGUUGGUGGGGUAGUGGCUUACCAAGGCUUUGACGGGUAGCCGGCCUGAGAGGGUGACCGGCCACAUUGGGACUGAGAUACGGCCCAGACUCCUACGGGAGGAAGCAGUGGGGAAUAUUGCCCAAUGGGAGGAAGCCUGAUGCAGCAACGCCGCGUGCGGGAUGACGGCCUUCGGGUUGUAAACCGCUUUCGCCUGUGACGAAGCGUGAGUGACGGUAAUGGGUAAAGAAGUACCGGCUAACUACGUG
This 468-nucleotide ribosomal RNA is filed under the name uncultured bacterium. Its description in RNAcentral is "partial 16S ribosomal RNA". It matches the Rfam family "Bacterial small subunit ribosomal RNA", at positions 28 to 507 of the family's 1533-position model. The record is from RNAcentral.